This 484-nucleotide ribosomal RNA is filed under the name uncultured bacterium. RNAcentral's name for it is "partial 16S ribosomal RNA". It matches the Rfam family "Bacterial small subunit ribosomal RNA", at positions 28 to 523 of the family's 1533-position model. The record is from RNAcentral.
GAUGAACGCUGGCGGCGUGCUUAACACAUGCAAGUCGAACGAUGAAGCUGGAGCUUGCUCCGGUGGAUUAGUGGCGAACGGGUGAGUAACACGUGAGUAAUCUGCCCUUGACUCUGGGAUAACUGCGGGAAACUGUAGCUAAUACCGGAUACGACACCUUCGGGCAUCCGAUGGGUGUGGAAAGAAUUUCGGUCAAGGAUGAACUCGCGGCCUAUCAGCUAGUUGGUGAGGUAAUGGCUCACCAAGGCGACGACGGGUAGCCGGCCUGAGAGGGUGACCGGCCACACUGGGACUGAGACACGGCCCAGACUCCUACGGGAGGCAGCAGUGGGGAAUAUUGCACAAUGGGCGAAAGCCUGAUGCAGCAACGCCGCGUGAGGGAUGAAGGCCUUCGGGUUGUAAACCUCUUUUAGUUGGGAAGAAGCGAAAGUGACGGUACCAACAGAAAAAGCACCGGCUAACUACGUGCCAGCCGCCGCUGUAA